UAUAUAAAUGCGCAUUUUCCUGAUUAAAGAUAUUCAUUACAUUCAACAGCGAAUCGUAAGAUUGUAUCUCUGGACAAAUUUCCUAUCAAUCGAAUACUUGAUUGAAAAGAUGUCGAAACUAUUUUUCUUGAUGAUUUUAUCCUUAGUUGGAUUGUUGGCUUUGACUGGUGUCAAUGCCAAUUCACAGUGCUGGGAAAAUGAAGACACUCAAGGCUGUCUGAACAAAUGGUGCCAUGCAAUUCAAGGAUACUAUUGUUGUAAAGGUUACAGAUGUUAUUCAGGCGUGUUGGAUUCUGGACAUUGUAUAAAAGAAUGAGGAUUACUUCAAAAUUGAGCACGUAAUAUAUACAUAUAUAUAUGAGACCGUUGGCAAAGUGAAUAUUGACAGAUCUUCUUUCAACAAUUUCAUUUUAUUUUUUUUUUUUAAAUUAAUAAUACAUUUUGUUAAUUCAAAAAUUGUAUCUGAUAAAAAACUAAAAUUCUAUUUUGGCUUAAAAAUAUUAACUGAGCGCUAAAAUUUAACCAUCAAAAUUUUCCUCUUUCCUUGGAUUUAUUUUACUUGUAUUUUUUAUCAUUAUUUUCAUCAGUCAUAAAUUUUUCAUAAAUUUGUUGUAUUAUGACCCGGGUCAAAAAUAAAACUUGAUUUAGACUUGCUUCACUUUAUUUUCUUUUGAAGCUAUCGAUUUGCCGACGAUUUUUCGAUAAGAUGUCGACGUUUUCGACUGAAACUAAAUUUUUUUCAACUUUUUGAACUUUUUUCAUCUUAGUUUCAACUUAUUUCAACUUAUUCAUAUUUUUUGAUCUUAGUUUGAACUUAUUCGUCUUUACUUCGAGCACGAUAGACAUCCACCUUACUUUUGACUUGCUGAAUCAAGUCGAAAAAAAGUUAUUUAUUCGCCUUACUUUCGCAUUAAUAUAUAAAAAUUAUUUCACCUUAGUUUAGACUUUUUCGCCUUAUAUUUUAAGUAGAAUAGGUCUAAACCAAGUCAAUUUCGACUUGAUUUCAACUUUUGUGUCUUGAAUCGUGACUAAGAAAGCCAGUUAAGUAUAAACCAAGGCGAAAACUCAUUGUGCUUCAUAUCUCCGCAAAAAAAGUCGAGUUGGUCUGUGAAAAACUGCUCCAAAUUUCGACUUGGUAAACCAAGUCUAAAUCAAGUUUUAUUUUUGACCCGGGAAUGCUCUGUUGUUAUCUCGGUAUCUUCCAAAAUAUCGAUUCUAGAGAUUUAGUGCUAAGGAUCUCUUGUGUAGAGAAUUAAAUUUACUAUAAAAACGUUCCAUACAUUUUUACGAUAACACUGAUAGUUAAGUCAAUAUUUACGACUAAACAUACAUCGCAUAAUUGCUUUCUAAGAUAAAAAUUUACAAUUAUUUUGGACUCUAAUAUAUUCCUCCAAAUUAUCACAGCUCCAAAAUCAUGAUAAGGCUCUCACUUUCUUGUCAUAUAGUUUACUACAUAUAUAACUUUAUAUCAGUAUUUCAAAUUUUUUAAGAUAUUUAUCACUUAGACUUUAUUAUUAUCAGCAAAUUGCAUCCUCCACAUAUAUAGUUUUAUAUACAUACAUUUUUAACAUAUUGUGAGUUUUCUCAAUAGUUACAAGUAUGGACAGAGCUUUCAUUUAAGGCCGCUUUAACAAAAUUAUAAAAUUAACGCAUACAAAAUAUACAUAGAUUUAUAAUAAUCAGUCAAGAUUAUCAAUUAUAAAUUAUGAAUUAUUAAUAAAAAUUAAUCAUCAGAAUCCUCUUAUAAUAAAACUUGUAAAAUAUUAUCGUUUUCAGUAUUUUUAAUCAGAAAUAUGUAUAAAGUAUAAAAUUAAUAAUAAAAAAGUAUACUCUAUUAUGUAUAUAAUAAAAAAAAACCCAAGCAACCCGAGACGAAAAAUUCAAGUCUCUCUGAGUCUCUGAGAGUCUCUAGAAGGCUCGCUGAGUCUUGCUGAGUCUCUCUGAAUCUUCCUGAGUCUCUCUGAGUCUCCAUUUUAAAGACCAGCAGACAAUCGUGUUUCACAUGGUCUCUUUGAGUCUCCCAGAGUCUCUCAUUCAGAGACUAUGAAAGACUCAGACUAUAAAAUUUCCCAGCAAACAUUAAGUCUCCCAACACGAGACUUAAAGAGACAACUUACAGACUGUAAAAUUUUUUAAGCAAACAUGUAGUCUUUCAACACGAGACUUGGAGAGACUAGAGACUGUAAAAUUUCCCAGCAAACAUUUAGUCUCCCAACACGAGACUUACAGAGACUAAAAACUGGGAAUUUCCCAACAGCUUUAAAAUUUAUCUCUUCAACAAGACCAAACAGUAACAAAAAUUUUAUAAGUAGGGUACGUUUAUCUACGAACAAUAGUGUAUGUACAUAUAAUAAAAUUGGUACUACAUUAGGCAGUAAUAUUUUUACACGUACAAUAUUUUCGUAGGUUGGUGUAAAUUUGUAGGUUUGUGUCCAGAAAAUAAUAUUUUAAAGAUUCAUUCCGAACUGAACCUUCGAAUCGGAUAGUUUGCUUGAAAUAUCAGUGGAUAUCGUGUUGUGUUUCACAGUGUUAAAAAAAUGUUCGUUUUAGUUUUUUGGAUUAAAACCUUGCAAAAGUCUGUUAUUAACGAAAAAGACAUUUGCAUUCCAUCGAGCCCAGACGUUACAGCAGAAGUAGGGGAUAUUGUACUAUAGUGAAAUGGGGAAAAUCGAAGUCUCAAACGAAGAUUCUCCGAUACAUCAGUAAGUUAUUAAAAAUAGUAAAACUUGUAAUAUAACAAUAGUAUAUUACACACCGAGGGAAGUAAAGUAAGAAAUGUCUCAGAUCACAUGUAAUUGUUGGCCGAGGCGAAGCCGAGGUCAACAAACAUGUGAUCUGAGGCUUUCUUAUUUACUUCCCGAGGAAUGUAUACUAUUUUUCUCCUCGACGGAGGCGGAAAGCGGCAACUUCGUUUUGCACAGCGGGACGAAAGUUGACGCUUUCCGCCCGGAGGUGAGAAAAAUAAUUUUCACAACUUCGUAAAGAUUAAAAAAAUUUUUUUUUUCUCUAUUUUCUCUAUCUAUUUAAUGAAAUCUCUGUUCAUAUUCAUAGGGUCUAAAGAAGAAUUAGAAAAAAUAAAUGUUGGGGAAAGAUGGGAACAUCAUUGAUAAAGCAACAAGAAACUCGAAAAAAAAACAAUUCAACAAAAAUAUUGCAGAGAAAAAAAGUUUUAGUAAAUUCAAACUAUUAUCUCAAAAAGCUUGUAAGCAAACUGAGAAAUAUUAUAAUGAAGAACUUUUAUCGAGUUUACUUGAAAAAAAUUGCGAAGAUAAAGAUAAUUACACAGAUGACGAUGAGAUAGUAGCCGAUACAAUUCGAGAUGACAAUAAAACAUCAGAAAUCGAUGAAAUCAGUAAAUCAUGUUAUAUUUCAGUUUCCGAUAAUAGUAUUAGUACCACGUGCGAACUUUGUUCAUCAUUGCCUGUAACAUUAAUUACUGCAU
Molecule: RNA transcript, 3442 nt
Organism: Microplitis mediator
Lineage: Eukaryota; Metazoa; Arthropoda; Insecta; Hymenoptera; Braconidae
Exons: 4
Source: RefSeq, a predicted model, not a curated record